GUGGCUGUAGUUCAGUUGGUUAGAGCGUCAGAUUGUGGUUCUGAAUGUCGUGGGUUCGAGUCCCACCCGCCACC
This 74-nucleotide transfer RNA is filed under the name gut metagenome. RNAcentral's name for it is "tRNA-His". It matches the Rfam family "tRNA". From Rfam's summary of the family: Transfer RNA (tRNA) molecules are approximately 80 nucleotides in length. Their secondary structure includes four short double-helical elements and three loops (D, anti-codon, and T loops). The record is from RNAcentral.